GACGAACGCUGGCGGCGUGCUUAACACAUGCAAGUCGAACGGAAAGGCCCUGCUUUUGUGGGGUGCUCGAGUGGCGAACGGGUGAGUAACACGUGAGUAACCUGCCCUUGACUUUGGGAUAACUUCAGGAAACUGGGGCUAAUACCGGAUAGGAGCUCCUGCUGCAUGGUGGGGGUUGGAAAGUUUCGGCGGUUGGGGAUGGACUCGCGGCUUAUCAGCUUGUUGGUGGGGUAGUGGCUUACCAAGGCUUUGACGGGUAGCCGGCCUGAGAGGGUGACCGGCCACAUUGGGACUGAGAUACGGCCCAGACUCCUACGGGGGGCAGCAGUGGGGAAUAUUGCACAAUGGGCGGAAGCCUGAUGCAGCAACGCCGCGUGCGGGAUGACGGCCUUCGGGUUGUAAACCGCUUUCGCCUGUGACGAAGCGUGAGUGACGGUAAUGGGUAAAGAAGCAACGGCUAACUACGUG
Molecule: ribosomal RNA, 468 nt
Filed under: uncultured bacterium
Lineage: Bacteria
Description: partial 16S ribosomal RNA
Rfam family: Bacterial small subunit ribosomal RNA
Source: RNAcentral